RNAcentral lists this ribosomal RNA (653 nucleotides) under Lacticaseibacillus paracasei subsp. paracasei. Its description in RNAcentral is "bacterial SSU rRNA". It matches the Rfam family "Bacterial small subunit ribosomal RNA", at positions 57 to 675 of the family's 1533-position model. Lineage: Bacteria; Bacillati; Bacillota; Bacilli; Lactobacillales; Lactobacillaceae. The record is from RNAcentral.
GCAGUCGAACGAGUUCUCGUUGAUGAUCGGUGCUUGCACCGAGAUUCAACAUGGAACGAGUGGCGGACGGGUGAGUAACACGUGGGUAACCUGCCCUUAAGUGGGGGAUAACAUUUGGAAACAGAUGCUAAUACCGCAUAGAUCCAAGAACCGCAUGGUUCUUGGCUGAAAGAUGGCGUAAGCUAUCGCUUUUGGAUGGACCCGCGGCGUAUUAGCUAGUUGGUGAGGUAAUGGCUCACCAAGGCGAUGAUACGUAGCCGAACUGAGAGGUUGAUCGGCCACAUUGGGACUGAGACACGGCCCAAACUCCUACGGGAGGCAGCAGUAGGGAAUCUUCCACAAUGGACGCAAGUCUGAUGGAGCAACGCCGCGUGAGUGAAGAAGGCUUUCGGGUCGUAAAACUCUGUUGUUGGAGAAGAAUGGUCGGCAGAGUAACUGUUGUCGGCGUGACGGUAUCCAACCAGAAAGCCACGGCUAACUACGUGCCAGCAGCCGCGGUAAUACGUAGGUGGCAAGCGUUAUCCGGAUUUAUUGGGCGUAAAGCGAGCGCAGGCGGUUUUUUAAGUCUGAUGUGAAAGCCCUCGGCUUAACCGAGGAAGCGCAUCGGAAACUGGGAAACUUGAGUGCAGAAGAGGACAGUGGAACUCCAUGUG